GAUGCUGUGGCUUAACUGGUAAAAGUGCCUGUCUAAUAAACAGAAUAUCCUGGGUUCAAAUGCCAGCAGUGCUU
This is a non-coding RNA of Megalops atlanticus (tarpon), 74 nucleotides long. NCBI's taxonomy places the organism in Eukaryota, Metazoa, Chordata, Actinopteri, Elopiformes, Megalopidae. The record is from the annotation of a GenBank genome assembly.